RNAcentral lists this ribosomal RNA (375 nucleotides) under uncultured fungus. RNAcentral describes it as "eukaryotic LSU rRNA". It matches the Rfam family "Eukaryotic large subunit ribosomal RNA", at positions 40 to 398 of the family's 3401-position model. The record is from RNAcentral. Lineage: Eukaryota; Fungi.
AUAUCAAUAAGCGGAGGAAAAGAAACUAACAAGGAUUCCCCUAGUAACUGCGAGUGAAGCGGGAAAAGCUCAAAUUUAAAAUCUGGCUGGUCCUUUGCGUCAGUCCGAGUUGUAAUUUAGAGAAGCGUCUAUCCGCGCUGGACCGUGCACAAGUCUCCUGGAACGGAGCGUCAUAGAGGGUGAGAAUCCCGUCUUUGGCAUACGGACUACCAGGGCUUUUGUGAUGCGCUCUCGAAGAGUCGAGUUGUUUGGGAAUGCAGCUCAAAAUGGGUGGUGAAACUCCAUCUAAAGCUAAAUAUUGGCGAGAGACCGAUAGCGAACAAGUACCGUGAGGGAAAGAUGAAAAGCAACUUUGGAAAGAGAGUGAAACAGUAC